Molecule: unclassified non-coding RNA, 235 nt
Filed under: Hevea brasiliensis (rubber tree)
Lineage: Eukaryota; Viridiplantae; Streptophyta; Magnoliopsida; Malpighiales; Euphorbiaceae
Source: RNAcentral
GAGGGCAAGCCCCUCUCCGUUUUCGCAGAGAAGGACCCUGCCAACAUCAAUUGGUCUGGUGUUGGUGCUGAGUACAUCGUCGAGUCCACUGGUGUUUUCACCACCAUCGACAAGGCCUCUGCCCACUUGAAGGGCGGCGCCAAGAAGGUUAUCAUCUCCGCCCCUUCCGCUGAUGCUCCCAUGUUCGUCUGCGGUGUUAACCUCGACAGAUAUGAUUCCGAGUACCAAGUUAUCU